This is a non-coding RNA of Pelobates cultripes (western spadefoot toad), 112 nucleotides long. The record is from the annotation of a GenBank genome assembly. NCBI's taxonomy places the organism in Eukaryota, Metazoa, Chordata, Amphibia, Anura, Pelobatidae.
CACUCUCUGCCCAGCUCCCUCGUCUGCCGCGUACUGAUGCCAGAGUUGGAAUAUGACGUCGCUCCGGCAUCAGAACGCGGUUCGUGGGGGAGCUGGGCAGAGAGCGCUCAGC